GGAUGAGGGUGCGGGCGUGCGGCGCUGUUCACCGGAAUGCGUCGUGAGAACUGCCGCGCGCUGGCCGCGAAUCAAUCCAUGAGAAGGGAUGUGGAUACGGAUAUGGGCUUUUACUUCUGGACGAAAUUGCCCCUUGCUAAUGAUGGAGUAACUCGUAGAAGCAGCCAGCAGUUGUCGUGGUCGUGAGUGUCGUGCUGCCUGCAGUGCUGCACUGCAUCUGGAUCUCCAUGUUGCCAUCCAUGUCCUCCUCUCAUCCUGCUGCUGCUUUGCUGUUUUUUCCUGCUCCAUGUAUCUGUCUCUGUCCCUUUCUUCGUCUUGCCAUCCAUUUCAUGCCCUCGGUUUCGAUCUCAUCCUAAGUAAAUGGUGGCCCAUUGUUAGAGACCCACUUGUUUAAGCUCCAAUACAAAUCACGAGUAUAUAGGUGGGCUGGAAGGAACAACAACUAACAGGAGCAAGAUUUAGAAGAUUCUGAAUGAAUCAGUGAGUAAGAGGAUACAUUGGUUGGUAGGAAGAAGAAGAGAGGGAAGGAGAGAUCGACAAGGAGGCAAGCCCGCCUCCAGGUCGCCGUGCCGCCCUUUGGACAAUGAUCUGGUCUCUUGGGCUUGCUUGGACUUCUUGGAAAGUAGCUGAUUCAGCCCAUAUUGCAGCCCACAUGGCUCCUAACACCCAUGCCUUGCAUGAUCAAGAGUAAGAGUAAUGGUAGUAGUACAUUAUCUAAAAAAAAAAAGAGUAAUGGUAGUAGUAGCAAAUUAACUGUACCUAUCUCUGUCUGAGCAGAUCUAUCGAGCUGCCUUGCCUGGAAUUUUUUUUAGAAAUAAUAUUAUUUUAAUGGAAAAUUGCAAAAGUAGUAGCUGAUUA
Oryza sativa Japonica Group (Japanese rice) is the source of this 858-nucleotide long non-coding RNA. RefSeq lists it as uncharacterized. NCBI's taxonomy places the organism in Eukaryota, Viridiplantae, Streptophyta, Magnoliopsida, Poales, Poaceae. The record is from RefSeq and is a predicted model, not a curated record.